Molecule: transfer RNA, 73 nt
Filed under: Camelus bactrianus (Bactrian camel)
Lineage: Eukaryota; Metazoa; Chordata; Mammalia; Artiodactyla; Camelidae
Also listed under: 2 other names
Rfam family: tRNA
About the family: Transfer RNA (tRNA) molecules are approximately 80 nucleotides in length. Their secondary structure includes four short double-helical elements and three loops (D, anti-codon, and T loops). Further hydrogen bonds mediate the characteristic L-shaped molecular structure. tRNAs have two regions of fundamental functional importance: the anti-codon, which is responsible for specific mRNA codon recognition, and the 3' end, to which the tRNAs corresponding amino acid is attached (by aminoacyl-tRNA synthetases). tRNAs cope with the degeneracy of the genetic code in two manners: having more than one tRNA (with a specific anti-codon) for a particular amino acid; and 'wobble' base-pairing, i.e. permitting non-standard base-pairing at the 3rd anti-codon position.
Source: Rfam by way of RNAcentral
GAGGGUAUAGCUCAAGUGGUAAAGUGUAUGCUUAACAUACUCAAGGUCCUGGGUUCAAACCCCAGUACCUCCU